CAGUAACGGCGAGUGAAGCGGCAAAAGCUCAAAUUUGAAAUCUAGCACUUUCAGUGUUCGAGUUGUAAUUUGAAGAAAGUCUCCUUGAAUAGUCCUUUAUCUAUGUUCCUUGGAACAGGACGUCAUAGAGGGUGAGAACCCCGUAUGAUUUUGGAUCCUAUUCUCUGUGGGAGUCUUUCGAAGAGUCGAGUUGUUUGGGAAUGCAGCUCUAAGUGGGUGGUAAAUUCCAUCUAAAGCUAAAUAUUGGCGAGAGACCGAUAGCGAACAAGUACAGUGAUGGAAAGAUGAAAAGAACUCUGAAGAGAGAGUGAAAAAGUACGUGAAAUUGCUGAAAGGGAAGGGCUUGAGGUCAGACUUGGUGUUUAAUGAUUAUCUUCUUUUCUUAAGUUGUGCACUCGUUUUUCACUGGGCCAAUAUCAGUUUUUGUAGUAGAGCACCUCUUGAAAUGUGAUUUCCUUCGGGGAGUGUUAUAGUCUUGAGACGAUCUACUACGGGGACUGAGGACUGCGCGUUAUGCUAGGAUAUUGGCGUAAUGACCUUAAGCCGCCCGUCUUGAAACACGGACCAAGGAGUCUAACGUCUAUGCGAGUGUUUGGGUGUAAAACCCGUACGCGUAAUGAAAGUGAACGUAGGUUGGGGCCUUCGGGUGCACAAUCGACCGAUCCUGACGUUUUCAGAUGGAUUUGAGUAAGAGCAUAGCUGYUGGGACCCGAAAGAUGGUGAACUAUGCCUGAAUAGGGUGAAGCCAGAGGAAACUCUGGUGGAAGCUCGUAGCGGUU
RNAcentral lists this ribosomal RNA (779 nucleotides) under Saccharomycopsis malanga. RNAcentral describes it as "LSU rRNA". It matches the Rfam family "Eukaryotic large subunit ribosomal RNA", at positions 81 to 885 of the family's 3401-position model. The record is from RNAcentral. Lineage: Eukaryota; Fungi; Ascomycota; Saccharomycetes; Ascoideales; Saccharomycopsidaceae.